RNAcentral lists this ribosomal RNA (73 nucleotides) under Penicillium corylophilum. Its description in RNAcentral is "partial 5.8S ribosomal RNA". It matches the Rfam family "5.8S ribosomal RNA", at positions 84 to 154 of the family's 154-position model. Rfam says of the family: 5.8S ribosomal RNA (5.8S rRNA) is a component of the large subunit of the eukaryotic ribosome. It is transcribed by RNA polymerase I as part of the 45S precursor that also contains 18S and 28S rRNA. The record is from RNAcentral. Lineage: Eukaryota; Fungi; Ascomycota; Eurotiomycetes; Eurotiales; Aspergillaceae.
GUGAAUCAUCGAGUCUUUGAACGCACAUUGCGCCCCUUGGUAUUCCGGGGGGCAUGCCUGUCCGAGCGUCAUU